UACGUAGGGGGCAAGCGUUGUCCGGAAUCAUUGGGCGUAAAGAGCGCGUAGGCGGUCCGGUAAGUCCGCUGUGAAAGUCCGGGGCUCAACCCUGGGAUGCCGGUGGAUACUGUCGGGCUAGAGUCCGGAAGAGGCGAGUGGAAUUCCUGGUGUAGCGGUGAAAUGCGCAGAUAUCAGGAGGAACACCUAUGGCGAAGGCAGCUCGCUGGGACGGUACUGACGCUGAGGCGCGAAAGCGUGGGGAGCGAACAGGAUUAGAUACCCGUGUAGUCC
Molecule: ribosomal RNA, 273 nt
Filed under: uncultured bacterium
Lineage: Bacteria
Description: partial 16S ribosomal RNA
Rfam family: Bacterial small subunit ribosomal RNA
Source: RNAcentral